GACAGAGGGUGCAAACGUUGUUCGGAAUUACUGGGCGUAAAGCGCGUGUAGGCGGCUGCGCAAGUCGGAUGUGAAAUCCCAUGGCUCAACCAUGGAAGUGCACCCGAAACUGCGUAGCUAGAGUCUCGGAGAGGAAGGUGGAAUGCUUGGUGUAGAGGUGAAAUUCGUAGAUAUCAAGCAGAACACCGGUGGCGAAGGCGGCCUUCUGGACGAUGACUGACGCUGAGACGCGAAAGCGUGGGGAGCAAACAGGA
This 254-nucleotide ribosomal RNA is filed under the name uncultured prokaryote. RNAcentral's name for it is "partial 16S ribosomal RNA". It matches the Rfam family "Bacterial small subunit ribosomal RNA", at positions 524 to 777 of the family's 1533-position model. The record is from RNAcentral.